Phrynosoma platyrhinos (Desert horned lizard) is the source of this 72-nucleotide non-coding RNA. Lineage: Eukaryota; Metazoa; Chordata; Lepidosauria; Squamata; Phrynosomatidae. The record is from the annotation of a GenBank genome assembly.
GCCAGCAUGGUGUAGUGGUUUGAGUGUUAGACUAGGGCUUUGGAGACCAGGAUUCAAAUCCCAGUUUGAGCC